CCUGGUGGCAGCAAAAUAAAGACUGAAGCCUUUGGAAUGGUUGACCCUCCACCAAUCCUUGAAGUUCCUGCUAUCUACAUCAAGGAGGAGCCUGAGGGUGAAACUGAAGAAGUAUCCAUCAAAGAGGAACCAUUUGUAAAUGAAAAUGAGGCUUGUUCACCUGUGCAUCUCAGCCCGGCAUCUACACUCUCCUCUUGUGUGCCGUUCAAGAUGGAAACUAAAGUUGAGGCUUGCAAUGCUCACCCAAACUCUUCUCAGAACAUUUCUGCUCUGGUAUCA
Molecule: long non-coding RNA, 279 nt
Organism: Hyalella azteca
Lineage: Eukaryota; Metazoa; Arthropoda; Malacostraca; Amphipoda; Hyalellidae
Exons: 3
Source: RefSeq, a predicted model, not a curated record